RNAcentral lists this transfer RNA (71 nucleotides) under Tringa ochropus (green sandpiper). Its description in RNAcentral is "tRNA-Pro". The record is from RNAcentral. Lineage: Eukaryota; Metazoa; Chordata; Aves; Charadriiformes; Scolopacidae.
CCAAAAAAAAGUUUAGAAUAAAAUCCCACCUUGGGGAGUGGGAGCCAAAGGUUUAAUUCUUCUUUUUUGGA